CAAUAGCGUAUAUUAAAGUUGUUGCGGUUAAAAAGCUCGUAGUUGGAUUUCUGUUGAGGGUGACCGGUCCGCUCUUUGAGCGCGCAUCUGGUUCAGCCUCGGCAUCCUCUUGGGGAACGUUCUUGUGCUUGAUUGCAUGGGGCGGUAUUCAAGACUUUUACUUUGAGGAAAUUAGAGUGUUCACUGCAAGCGUUAGCAAUUGAAUACAUUAGCAUGGAAUAAUAAUAUAGGACCUUGGUACUAUUUUGUUGGUUUCUAGAACUAAGGUAAUGGUUAAUAGGGACAAUUGGGGGCGAUUCGUAUUAACGCGUCAGAGGUGGAAUUCUUAGAUUGCGUUACGACGAACUACUGCGAAAGACAUUUGUCCAAGGAUGUUUUCUAUUGAUCAAGAACGAAAGUAUGGGGAUCAAAGACGA
RNAcentral lists this ribosomal RNA (416 nucleotides) under uncultured eukaryote. Its description in RNAcentral is "SSU rRNA". It matches the Rfam family "Eukaryotic small subunit ribosomal RNA", at positions 592 to 1007 of the family's 1831-position model. The record is from RNAcentral.